UGAUGUGCUAUUUUUGCUGUCUUGUGAUGCAGGCUGCUUUGGGCCCCUGGGUCACUCUUCCAAGGCUGCUGUAGAGCACAGAGACAUGGGGCUGGCCAGUGUUGACUGACCUGAGGAGACCCCUUUGUUUGUUGCCUUCAUAACUGUCACUAAACCGACCCCUCUGCCCUUUCAGUGGCAACUCUGGUCUAAGGGAACAUUCAGCACUCUAGCGGCAUCUGAUUGGAAGUUCCCUCACCCAAGUAAUCUCAAUUCCUUCCUCUCUCCAUCCCUGAAAGAAACAGGAUGGAUUUUCCUCUCUUCUCCCUGCUACAUUCACUACCAGAUUUUUAUGCUACAGUUUCAUUCUUGAUUGUGAUUUCUCCAUGGAAUUUUUUUUUUCUGGUGACAUUUCUAUCAUGGAAAUAGGAAGAUUUCGGAGUGCUUUGUGAAGAUUUCAAUUGUCUGUCUCUUUCUCUCUUUGACUUGUAUGAAGGAGAUUGUACAUUGCCUGAUAUCUCUUUGUAAAUGAGAAAUAUUGCUAACAUCCAAGCAUUCUGAAGUCUUGCUUAUCCUUCUGAGUUUAGUUCUCAUUUUGUUUUACAUUUUGUUUGGGGACUUGGGGCAAGCUAUUUAUUAGAGUUUUGCAACAGAGUUCUUGUUUGAAGCCUCUAAAGACUACCUGUAAAAUUCAAAGAAUAAAAUUCAUUUUAAACGCUCUUUUAAAACACUUUGGUAUUAUUGCUUGAGGUUUGCUUAUUUGAAAGACCACCCAAUAACUCAUUGACCCUCCUUGCAUCCGAAUUUUUUCAUCAAGCUUUGUUAACACUAAUGAUGAUUCUUGAAAAUUUCUGUCCUUCUCAGAAUGUUAAUAAACUUUUUUACUCUGUCCA
RNAcentral lists this long non-coding RNA (872 nucleotides) under Homo sapiens (human). RNAcentral describes it as "non-protein coding lnc-RGS6-3:1". The record is from RNAcentral. Lineage: Eukaryota; Metazoa; Chordata; Mammalia; Primates; Hominidae.